GACGAACGCUGGCGGCGCGCCUAAUGCAUGCAAGUCGAGCGACGCACACCGGAGGGGUAACCCACCGGUAUGACGGAGCGGCGAACGGGUGAGUAACACGUGAGCAACCUGCCCCACAGACCGGGAUAGCCCAGGGAAACUUGGAUUAAUACCGGAUACCCUCAUGGAACCACAUGGUUCUUUGAGGAAAUGCCUUAACGCUGUGGGAUGGGCUCGCGGCUUAUCAGCUAGUUGGUGGGGUAACGGCCUACCAAGGCAUCGACGAGUAGCUGGUCUGAGAGGACGAUCAGCCACACUGGGACUGAGACACGGCCCAGACUCCUACGGGUGGCAG
This 334-nucleotide ribosomal RNA is filed under the name uncultured Actinomycetes bacterium. RNAcentral's name for it is "bacterial SSU rRNA". It matches the Rfam family "Bacterial small subunit ribosomal RNA", at positions 28 to 351 of the family's 1533-position model. Lineage: Bacteria; Bacillati; Actinomycetota; Actinomycetes. The record is from RNAcentral.